AAGAUUGUUAAACAUUAAAACUUUUAGUCUAUUCCUUCUUCAUGACACAUUCAUUCAAACAUGCACAGUUCACACUAUUCAGCUGCUUAGAUUAGAGUUGUAAGGUGUAACAGUUAUCCUGUCAUGCUGUCUUCAGGUCAUUUAUAAAUGAUUAGCAAGCUCGAGGCACUCCAUAUAUUAUUGAUUUCAGAGUUGUAAACACUGUUCUCGGUUUUAGGCAGCACAUAUGGUUUU
Molecule: long non-coding RNA, 234 nt
Filed under: Locusta migratoria (migratory locust)
Lineage: Eukaryota; Metazoa; Arthropoda; Insecta; Orthoptera; Acrididae
Description: partial Lnc36273
Source: RNAcentral